UAAUUCAUAUGUUAGUUGAGAAACAACUUCAGGCUGGUCAUAUAGAACCAACACUUAGUCCUUGGAACACCCCCAUUUUUGUUAUUAAGAAAAAGUCGGGUAAUUGGAGGUUACUACCAGAUUUAAGGGUGAUAAAUCAUGCAAUUCAGCCUAUGGGAUCAUUACAGCCUGGACUCCCUUCCCCCACUGCAAUCCCUCUAAACUAUAGCUUAAUGGUAACAGAUCUAAAAGAUUGUUUUUUCUCAAUAAUGUUGCAUCCUGAGGAUUGUGAAAAAUUUGCUUUCAC
RNAcentral lists this small RNA (286 nucleotides) under Marmota monax (woodchuck). The record is from RNAcentral. Lineage: Eukaryota; Metazoa; Chordata; Mammalia; Rodentia; Sciuridae.